UAAAAUGGCUGAAAUUUUAGGCGAUAAAUUGUAAAUUUAUUUAUGGAUUAUGAUCCUUUUAUCA
RNAcentral lists this transfer RNA (64 nucleotides) under Acheta domesticus (house cricket). RNAcentral's name for it is "tRNA-Tyr". Lineage: Eukaryota; Metazoa; Arthropoda; Insecta; Orthoptera; Gryllidae. The record is from RNAcentral.